UUUAACUUAGUGGCGGACGGGUGAGUAACGCGUGAGUAACCUGCCUUUCAGAGGGGGAUAACGUUCUGAAAAGAACGCUAAUACCGCAUAACAUCAAUUUAUCGCAUGAUAGGUUGAUCAAAGGAGCAAUCCGCUGGAAGAUGGACUCGCGUCCGAUUAGCCAGUUGGCGGGGUAACGGCCCACCAAGCCUUCGAUGGAUAGGGGUUCUGAGAGGAAGGUCCCCCACAUUGGAACUGGGACACGGUCCAAACUCCUACGGGAGGCAGCAUG
RNAcentral lists this ribosomal RNA (271 nucleotides) under uncultured bacterium. RNAcentral's name for it is "partial 16S ribosomal RNA". It matches the Rfam family "Bacterial small subunit ribosomal RNA", at positions 86 to 353 of the family's 1533-position model. The record is from RNAcentral.